GACGAACGCUGGCGGCGUGCCUAAUACAUGCAAGUCGAGCGAGCAAUUUUAGCAGAAUACCUUCGGGUAGGAAGCUAAGAGCGCGAGCGGCGGAUGGGUGAGUAACACGUGGGCAACCUACCCUUUAGCUGGGGAUACCACUUGGAAACAGGUGCUAAUACCGAAUAAGAAGCAAGAGCGCAUGCUCAAGCUAUGAAAGGCGGCUUUAAGCUGUCACUAAAGGAUGGGCCCGCGGUGCAUUAGCUAGUUGGUAAGGUAACGGCUUACCAAGGCGAUGAUGCAUAGCGGAGUUGAGAGACCGCACGGCCACAGUGGGAGUGAGACACGGCCCAAACUCCUACGGGAGGCAGCAGUAGGGAAUCUUCCACAAUGGACGCAAGUCUGAUGGAGCAACGCCGCGUGAGUGAAGAAGGUUUUCGGAUCGUAAAGCUCUGUUGUUGGUGAAGAAGGAUAAGGAUAGUAACUGAUUCAUAUUUGACGGUAAUCAACCAGAAAGUCACGGCUAACUACGUGCCAGCAGCCGCCGUAA
RNAcentral lists this ribosomal RNA (529 nucleotides) under uncultured bacterium. RNAcentral describes it as "partial 16S ribosomal RNA". It matches the Rfam family "Bacterial small subunit ribosomal RNA", at positions 28 to 523 of the family's 1533-position model. The record is from RNAcentral.